This 248-nucleotide long non-coding RNA is filed under the name Lathyrus oleraceus (garden pea). RNAcentral describes it as "Pisum sativum (pea) long non-coding RNA (PSAT_LNC031736)". The record is from RNAcentral. Lineage: Eukaryota; Viridiplantae; Streptophyta; Magnoliopsida; Fabales; Fabaceae.
GCUUGGGAAGUGAUGAAAUCCUAGUGGGUUUUGCCUACUUUUCAUAUUUGUUGUAUUGUAUUGUAUAUUUUUUUUGUGACAUAUUUUUGUGCAAUUUGGGAUUACUGUAUUGUAUGUAAUGAUUGAAUCGCUUGAAUAUUAAUUCAUUGUAUGCUUGGUUGUCUUUGUGAGAUAAGUUCUAUACCCGAACUCGAGUGCACUUAGGAUAGGAGAAUGGCAUAGUUUUGUCGACUUGUGUGGAGUUAUUC